UGGGGAAUCUUGCGCAAUGGCCGAAAGGCUGACGCAGCGACGCCGCGUGUGGGAUGAAGGUCUUCGGAUUGUAAACCACUGUCGGGAGGGACGAAGCUCUGACGGUACCUCCAAAGGAAGCACCGGCUAACUCUGUGCCAGCAGCCGCGGUAAUACAGAGGGUGCGAGCGUUGUCCGGAAUCACUGGGCGUAAAGGGCGCGUAGGCGGCCUGGUAAGUCGGGGGUGAAACGCUGCGGCUCAACCGCAGCACUGCCUUCGAGACUGCCGGGCUUGAGCACGGUAGGGGCUGGUGGAAUUCCCGGUGUAGCGGUGGAAUGCGUAGAGAUCGGGAAGAACAUCGGUGGCGAAGGCGGCCAGCUGGGCCGUUGCUGACGCUGAGGCGCGACAGCGUGUGGAGCAAACAGG
Molecule: ribosomal RNA, 406 nt
Filed under: bacterium
Lineage: Bacteria
Description: partial 16S ribosomal RNA
Rfam family: Bacterial small subunit ribosomal RNA
Source: RNAcentral